This 913-nucleotide ribosomal RNA is filed under the name Teratosphaeria nubilosa. Its description in RNAcentral is "eukaryotic LSU rRNA". It matches the Rfam family "Eukaryotic large subunit ribosomal RNA", at positions 24 to 968 of the family's 3401-position model. The record is from RNAcentral. Lineage: Eukaryota; Fungi; Ascomycota; Dothideomycetes; Mycosphaerellales; Teratosphaeriaceae.
CCCGCUGAACUUAAGCAUAUCAAUAAGCGGAGGAAAAGAAACCAACAGGGAUUGCCCCAGUAACGGCGAGUGAAGCGGCAACAGCUCAAAUUUGAAAUCUGGCGCAAGCCCGAGUUGUAAUUUGCAGAGGAUGCUUCAGGGCAGCGACCGGUCUAAGUUCCUUGGAACAGGACGUCGUAGAGGGUGAGAAUCCCGUAUGCGACCGGUUGGCACCCGUCACGUAGCUCCUUCGACGAGUCGAGUUGUUUGGGAAUGCAGCUCUAAAUGGGAGGUAAAUUUCUUCUAAAGCUAAAUACCGGCCAGAGACCGAUAGCGCACAAGUAGAGUGAUCGAAAGAUGAAAAGCACUUUGGAAAGAGAGUUAAAAAGCACGUGAAAUUGUUGAAAGGGAAGCGCAUGCAACCAGACUUGUCGGCGGUGUUCCGCCGGUCUUCUGACCGGUCCACUCGCCGCCGGCAGGCCAGCAUCAUCUGGGCGCGCCGGACAAAGGCGCGGGGAAUGUAGCUCCUCGGAGUGUUAUAGCCCCGCGCACAAUACGGCGCCGCUCGGGUGAGGUCCGCGCUUCGGCUAGGAUGCUGGCGUAAUGGUUGUCUGCGGCCCGUCUUGAAACACGGACCAAGGAGUCUAACAUCUAUGCGAGUGUUCGGGUGUCAAACCCCUACGCGGAAUGAAAGUGAACGGAGGUGGGAAGCGCAAGCUGCACCAUCGACCGAUCCUGAUGUCUUCGGAUGGAUUUGAGUAAGAGCAUAGCUGUUGGGACCCGAAAGAUGGUGAACUAUGCCUGAAUAGGGUGAAGCCAGAGGAAACUCUGGUGGAGGCUCGCAGCGGUUCUGACGUGCAAAUCGAUCGUCAAAUUUGGGUAUAGGGGCGAAAGACUAAUCGAACCAUCUAGUAGCUGGGUUCCUGCCGAAGUU